This is a long non-coding RNA of Oncorhynchus nerka (sockeye salmon), 599 nucleotides long. RefSeq lists it as uncharacterized. NCBI's taxonomy places the organism in Eukaryota, Metazoa, Chordata, Actinopteri, Salmoniformes, Salmonidae. The record is from RefSeq and is a predicted model, not a curated record. The transcript has 2 exons.
UUAAUCGAACUGAACGCACCCUGUUGUUCAUUCUCAUAAUCAUCACCCUCAGAUGCCAUUAUAGCAUUUUGGGGCUAUUUAGUAAGGUAGAGAGUGGGGCCAGGAGAGGGAACUCGCUCAGCUCCUUCCAACCCCUGCUCUUGGGUAAUAGCAUACAGGCGCUUGGUGCCAACGCCUUCCUCAAACACCAUGCUCUGCUGGAUCGGUGAGUGAUAUACAAGGGCCAGAAGCAAGAUCUAUGACCGCCAGAGACAGAAGGGACAAAAGGAAGAGGUGCAAUCUGUGUGCACCAAGAGAUGUCAAAAUGAGCAUGAAGUUCCCUAAAUGCAGUGCAUAUAUUUGCAAGGCACAUGCAACAACCCCCACGUAUUGUCCAGCAUGUGCAUGAGAACAACACAAAAUGUAACCAACAUUGAUUGACAGAUUGUGAACAUGUUAAUGUUUUUGUUAUUGUUAGUAAUACUGUUAUUGUUACUGUUGUUCUUUAAUGUGUUCAGACAUUCAUUUUGUAAUAUAGUCAUGUUUUAAUGUGUAGUUUUGGGCCUAUGUCCUUUCUUUACUAAUAAAAUCAUAACGGUCAGUUUUGACCGGGAACAUAA